GACAUUUUAACUAUACAAGUAUAUAUUUUGAAAAUAUAAAAAAGAUUAUUCUAAAUGUCU
RNAcentral lists this transfer RNA (60 nucleotides) under Ornithodoros brasiliensis. RNAcentral's name for it is "tRNA-Ser". The record is from RNAcentral. Lineage: Eukaryota; Metazoa; Arthropoda; Arachnida; Ixodida; Argasidae.